GAUCCUGGCUCAGGAUGAACGCUAGCUACAGGCUUAACACAUGCAAGUCGAGGGGCAGCAUGAACUUAGCUUGCUAAGUUUGAUGGCGACCGGCGCACGGGUGAGUAACACGUAUCCAACCUUCCGUUUACUCAGGGAUAGCCUUUCGAAAGAAAGAUUAAUACCUGAUAGUAUGGUGAGAUUGUAUGAUAGCACCAUUAAAGAUUUAUUGGUAAACGAUGGGGAUGCGUUCCAUUAGG
RNAcentral lists this ribosomal RNA (239 nucleotides) under uncultured bacterium. RNAcentral describes it as "partial 16S ribosomal RNA". It matches the Rfam family "Bacterial small subunit ribosomal RNA", at positions 15 to 245 of the family's 1533-position model. The record is from RNAcentral.